This 71-nucleotide transfer RNA is filed under the name Ovis aries (sheep). It matches the Rfam family "tRNA". Rfam says of the family: Transfer RNA (tRNA) molecules are approximately 80 nucleotides in length. Lineage: Eukaryota; Metazoa; Chordata; Mammalia; Artiodactyla; Bovidae. The record is from Rfam by way of RNAcentral.
UCCCUGGUGGCUCAGUGGUAGAGUAUCUGCCUGCAAUGCAGGAGACCCAGGUUCAAUCCAUGAGUUGAGAA